This 218-nucleotide long non-coding RNA is filed under the name Carica papaya (papaya). RNAcentral's name for it is "long non-coding RNA (CPAP_LNC002145)". The record is from RNAcentral. Lineage: Eukaryota; Viridiplantae; Streptophyta; Magnoliopsida; Brassicales; Caricaceae.
AUGAGGAAGAUAAUGAGGAACCAAUCACUGAUCUACUACCCCUUCAAGCCUUUGAGGAUCUCGUAGAUCCAUGAAGCUUUAUGAGUGCAUAAUUCUCUCGCACUCUGAUGAGUCCAUCUUUUGUAGAGGCUUACAAUAAAUUUUAUUUUCUACCUCAGUAUUGUAUGGAACUCUAUUAUUAUUUUUCAAGGGAUUGUAAUUAUUUGUUCUGCUGCAUA